AGCAGCCGCGGUAAUUCCAGCUCCAAUAGCGUAUAUUAAAGUUGUUGCAGUUAAAAAGCUCGUAGUUGAAUUUCGGGAUCAAUCUAUCGGUCGUGCAAUAGUACGUACUGAUUUUAUUGAUUCCUCCCUUCUGAUGAACUAUGAUGUCAUUAAUUUGGUGUCAUAGGGAAUCAGGACUGUUACUUUGAAAAAAUUAGAGUGUUUAAAGCAGGCUCACGCUUGAAUACAUUAGCAUGGAAUAACGAAAUAGGACGUUUGAUUCUAUUUUGUUAGUUUCUAGGAUCGACGUAAUGAUUAAUAGGGAUAGUUGGGGGCAUUAGUAUUCAAUUGUCAGAGGUGAAAUUCUUGGAUUUAUUGAAGACUAACUACUGCGAAAGCAUUUGCCAAGGAUGUUUUCAUUAAUCAAGAACGAAAGUUAGGGGAUCGAAGACGAUCAGAUACCGUCGUAGUCUUAACCAUAAACUAUGCCGACUAGGGAUCGGAUGAUGUUAAUUUUUUAAUGACUCAUUC
This 510-nucleotide ribosomal RNA is filed under the name uncultured Glomus. RNAcentral describes it as "SSU rRNA". It matches the Rfam family "Eukaryotic small subunit ribosomal RNA", at positions 569 to 1081 of the family's 1831-position model. Lineage: Eukaryota; Fungi; Glomeromycota; Glomeromycetes; Glomerales; Glomeraceae. The record is from RNAcentral.